Molecule: small RNA, 104 nt
Filed under: Marmota monax (woodchuck)
Lineage: Eukaryota; Metazoa; Chordata; Mammalia; Rodentia; Sciuridae
Source: RNAcentral
GCUGGGAGUGGUGGCAGACACCUGUAAUCCCAGUUCUUGGGAGGCUGAGACAGGAGGAUUUAAAGUUCAAAGCUAGCCUCAGCAAUUUAGCAACCCUGUCUCAA